AUUGAACGCUGGCGGAAUGCUUUACACAUGCAAGUCGAACGGCAGCACGGACUUCGGUCUGGUGGCGAGUGGCGAACGGGUGAGUAAUAUAUCGGAACGUGCCCAGUCGUGGGGGAUAACGUAGCGAAAGUUACGCUGAUACCGCAUACGAUCUAAGGAUGAAAGCGGGGGAUCGCAAGACCUCGCGCGAUUGGAGCGGCCGAUAUCAGAUUAGGUAGUUGGUGGGGUAAAGGCUCACCAAGCCAACGAUCUGUAGCUGGUCUGAGAGGACGACCAGCCACACUGGAACUGAGACACGGUCCAGACUCCUACGGGAGGCAGCAGUGGGGAAUUUUGGACAAUGGACGCAAGUCUGAUCCAGCCAUUCCGCGUGCAGGAUGAAGGCCCUCGGGUUGUAAACUGCUUUUGUACGGAACGAAAAGGUCUCUCUUAAUACGGGGGGCUCAUGAUGGUACCGUAAGAAUAAGCACCGGCUAACUACGUGCCAGCCGCCGCCGUAA
RNAcentral lists this ribosomal RNA (500 nucleotides) under uncultured bacterium. RNAcentral's name for it is "partial 16S ribosomal RNA". It matches the Rfam family "Bacterial small subunit ribosomal RNA", at positions 30 to 523 of the family's 1533-position model. The record is from RNAcentral.